Solanum tuberosum (potato) is the source of this 1017-nucleotide long non-coding RNA. RefSeq lists it as uncharacterized. NCBI's taxonomy places the organism in Eukaryota, Viridiplantae, Streptophyta, Magnoliopsida, Solanales, Solanaceae. The transcript has 2 exons. The record is from RefSeq and is a predicted model, not a curated record.
CCAAUUUGUGUUGUGUCAGAUUUCUUUUUUGGAUGGUCAGCUAAGUUAACUCAUGAAUUUGGUAUUCGACAUUCUAAUUUUGUGGUGCUGGUGGUUUUGGAUUAAACAUACUGGUAAUCUUGAGUUUAUACUACCUGAUCUUCAAGAAGCUGGAAAAUUUCAUGUUACACAAUUGUCACUUAGUCUUGUUAUAGCUGAUGGGAAUAAUGCUUAUUCAGUUUUUCAGAUGAAAAAUCUUCCACUUUGAAAAAACUGAGAUGGGGUUCUGAUUAAUACAGUUGAGGAGUUUGAAAAUAAUGGAUUGAUGUAUUUUAGAAGAAAGUUAUGUAUACCUGUUUGGGCAAUAGGACCAAUACUUUUUCAAGAAAAUGAUACUCCUAGGAAAGAACCAAGAAUUCCUUUAGUAAAAUGUCUUCCAAAGAUUCGUUGCAGUGUAGAGACACUAAGAAAAUGUCAGCUUGUCUAUUAUGCCUACAAUUACAAGUAAGCAGACGAACGAGGCUUCAAGGUGAGUGUUUUACCUCCGUUAAGCUUUUUAUAUUUACUUUGAAUAUAUAAUAUGUGCUUGAGUAUAUAUAUGUGCUUUAAGGAUAAUAACUAUUGAUAAGAGAAGGCUUAAGCUAAAGAAAUAUCUUGCAUCUUGUAGCAAAAUGAUACAGAUUCAUAAUUUUGAGUUUUGACUAUAAGCCAGAGAGGAAAGAGCUGGAAGAAAGAACUAGAAAAGCUAAAGUGAAAACAAGUCAUUCAGAAGCUCUCACUUCGGUCAUGGAGCUCGCUCUCUUGCAAUUUCUCGUGUAGCUCCCUCUACUUGAUCUCAAAUUCUACCAGGGAGCAUCUUCAAUUGAGCAUAAGAUAAAGAGCUUUUAAUGACGUAUUUAUUGUGGCAUUUGUACUUUGGAAACUUUUAUGUAUUUGUAAAAAUAGUUUAACAAUAUUAUCAUACCAUAUCCCUUUUUUAUUGUACAACUACAAUAUUUGUUAUGAUAAUCAAACUACAAAAGAGAAGUCGUAAUUGUU